RNAcentral lists this ribosomal RNA (369 nucleotides) under uncultured organism. RNAcentral's name for it is "bacterial SSU rRNA". It matches the Rfam family "Bacterial small subunit ribosomal RNA", at positions 526 to 896 of the family's 1533-position model. The record is from RNAcentral.
CGUAGGGAGCAAGCGUUGUCCGGAUUCACUGGGUGUAAAGGGUGCGCAGGCGGGAGAGUAAGUCAGAGGUGAAAUCUCACAGCUUAACUGUGAAACUGCCUUUGAUACUGCUUUUCUUGAGUUCGGGAGAGGUUGAUGGAAUUCCAGGUGUAGCGGUGAAAUGCGUAGAUAUCUGGAAGAACACCAGUGGCGAAGGCGGUCAACUGGCCCGUAACUGACGCUCAGGCACGAAAGCGUGGGUAGCGAACAGGAUUAGAUACCCUGGUAGUCCACGCCCUAAACGAUGAAUACUUGGUGUUGGUCUGUAUAGAUCAGUGCCGGAGGUAACCUGGUAAGUAGUUCCACCUGGGGAGUACGCUCGCAAGGGUG